RNAcentral lists this ribosomal RNA (253 nucleotides) under uncultured bacterium. RNAcentral's name for it is "partial 16S ribosomal RNA". It matches the Rfam family "Bacterial small subunit ribosomal RNA", at positions 524 to 776 of the family's 1533-position model. The record is from RNAcentral.
UACGUAGGGUGCGAGCGUUGUCCGGAAUUACUGGGCGUAAAGAGCUCGUAGGUGGUUUGUCGCGUUGUCCGUGAAAACUCACAACUCAAUUGUGGGCGUGCGGGCGAUACGGGCAGACUGGAGUACUGCAGGGGAGACUGGAAUUCCUGGUGUAGCGGUGGAAUGCGCAGAUAUCAGGAGGAACACCCGUGGCGAAGGCGGCUUUCUGGGACGGUACUGACGCUGAGACGCGAAAGCGUGGGGAGCGAACAGG